CCCGGCCGCCGGCUUCCUUUUGCUCUUUCCGGGCGGCGAUGAGCGCGCAGGACCCGCGCGGAGGCUGCGGGCGCACAGGAGCCCGCGCUCCUAGCCACCUCUCAGGCCUCGGGAAGGAAGCCGGAGUGAGAUUGCGUUCUGCCCCGGACCGCCCAGGAAACCUCUGGAUUUGCCUGUCUGGACUUUGGAGGGUGAAUGGAACCACGGACUCAGUGCCUUCUGCAUGUGGCCACUGUGCUGAGCAUAAGGCAUGUGGAGAGUGCAGUCUUACUUGAGGGGUCAGAGGAAGCCAAGGAAAGGUGACUUAGCAGAGAAACGAGGGCACUGGCCCCCUGGGAGCACAAGAAGGAACAGCAGCACGGGAACAGCAGAUCCCAAGCUCUCCAGCCCUCUGGACUCUGCAGCAGACUGAAAAGAAUCUCCUGUUCUUUCUUGCCAACUGCUAAGCCCUUUAAAGGGGCAUGGUCUAGCCACUCACUGCACCGCCCCAGCCCGGAGCCUCUGACCCUCGCCGUGUCUGGUUCUCCGCCGGCAGCAGGUAGGUGGACUUCGGCGAUGGGCCUGCCAGCCGGGGAGGAGCGGAGGGGUGGCUUCCGCCCCAUGGUGGGUCUUUGGUCCAGCUCUGCAGAAAGAGCAGGGGACGCUACGGUGAGCACCAGGCUACCCAGCACGCCUGGGGCACAGGUCGGGAAACUGAGGCUUGGAGCUGGCCCUGGAUGGGUCGGUUCUGGGUCUUUCUGGGUGGAUUGUGCGAUUCGUGGAGCCUCUGCCUGGGGACCUGUUAGCGUCACACUACCUUAGUUUCAGUGGUGGUGGGCGGAGGGGCACAGGCAGGGGCAAGUGCCAGGCUCCUGCUGCAGGCCCAGCUGCUUUCCUGCAGGGCGCCUCUGCGACCGCAGCCAGGAUGUCCAGGGACACAGUGCACCCCGCCAAGCUGUCCCUUGCUUUCCUGC
Molecule: long non-coding RNA, 953 nt
Filed under: Heterocephalus glaber (naked mole-rat)
Lineage: Eukaryota; Metazoa; Chordata; Mammalia; Rodentia; Bathyergidae
Description: lncRNA (ENSHGLG00100049267.1)
Source: RNAcentral